Molecule: ribosomal RNA, 279 nt
Filed under: uncultured bacterium
Lineage: Bacteria
Description: partial 16S ribosomal RNA
Rfam family: Bacterial small subunit ribosomal RNA
Source: RNAcentral
UGCCAGCAGCCGCGGUAAUACGAAGGGUGCUAGCGUUGUUCGGAAUUACUGGGCGUAAAGAGCAUGUAGGCGGAUUGGAAAGUUAGAGGUGAAAUCCCGGGGCUCAACCCCGGAAGUGCAUUGGAAACUGGCGAACUAGAGUGCAGGAGAGGCAAGUGGAAUUCCUAGUGUAGAGGUGAAAUUCGUAGAUAUUAGGAGGAACACCAGUGGUGAAGGCGACUUGCUGGACUGUAACUGACGCUGAGGCUCGAAAGCGUGGGGAGCGAACAGGAUUAGAUA